This 295-nucleotide ribosomal RNA is filed under the name Citrobacter sp. TBCS-15. RNAcentral describes it as "partial 23S ribosomal RNA". It matches the Rfam family "Bacterial large subunit ribosomal RNA", at positions 2015 to 2309 of the family's 2925-position model. The record is from RNAcentral. Lineage: Bacteria; Pseudomonadati; Pseudomonadota; Gammaproteobacteria; Enterobacterales; Enterobacteriaceae.
ACUGUCUCAACGAGAGACUCGGUGAAAUUUUAGUACCUGUGAAGAUGCAGGUUACCCGCGACAGGACGGAAAGACCCCAUGGAGCUUUACUGUAGUUUGAUAUUGAGUACCUGUAAGUCAUGUACAGGAUAGGUAGGAGCCGUUGAAAUAGGGACGCUAGUUUCUAUUGAGGCGUUGUUGGGAUACUACCCUUGACUUAUGGUUACUCUAACCCGCUGGCAUAAUCGGCCAGGGAGACAGUGUCUGACGGACAGUUUGACUGGGGCGGUCGCCUCCUAAAGAGUAACGGAGGCGC